RNAcentral lists this transfer RNA (76 nucleotides) under Oscillibacter sp. 1-3. RNAcentral's name for it is "tRNA-Pro". It matches the Rfam family "tRNA". From Rfam's summary of the family: Transfer RNA (tRNA) molecules are approximately 80 nucleotides in length. Their secondary structure includes four short double-helical elements and three loops (D, anti-codon, and T loops). The record is from RNAcentral. RNAcentral also lists the same sequence under 2 other names. Lineage: Bacteria; Bacillati; Bacillota; Clostridia; Eubacteriales; Oscillospiraceae.
CCGGGUAUAGCGCAGUUGGUAGCGCGCGUGGUUCGGGACCACGAGGCCGUGGGUUCAAAUCCCGCUACUCGGACCA